AUGGUGUCAUUCAUAACCCAUUAAUCUCAUAUUUGUUCUGUUUUUAUUUCCGAAGUGUGAAAAAUAUAUUACAAACAUCGUUAACAAUUUAUGAUUAGCAAGAUAUGGCAUUUGAGCAUUUCGAAAUUUAGCCCAGAUUUCAAAUAAAUUCAGUUAUCACCCUUUAGUUUGCAAGAAUGCAGAGCAUGGCGUGUUUAAAAUCAAUGAUUAAGUACACAUCGAGAAACUUUAGUUCAAAAGAAAACUUUAUCGAAAAUUGUUAACAUUUGAAGUAAAAUGUUUUCUUAUAUAAAAAAACGAGCUCAAUGAUCGGAGAUAUUCUUUGCAAAUGGAAAAGGAAAGCCAAAGAUAGCAACACACUACAACUACUGUGGAACGCGUUUCAUCUUUGGGUAGAAGACUUUUCAACCAUAUUAGGUGUGAAGGCUUCAAGGGCCGUGCGUUGGUAUGAUGUAUUUGAAUCGUAUCAAUAGCGAAAAUGCCUCUAUGAUACAAUUAUCACAUUAACCAGUGCCGGAGAUAUCACCCGGACUCUCCCUCUUUCAUUCUACGGAGUUCUGACUUUCAUUCCCUAAAUUCCAUAAAUAAAUGGCGACCACACAGAUAA
This is a long non-coding RNA of Stomoxys calcitrans (stable fly), 607 nucleotides long. RefSeq lists it as uncharacterized. Lineage: Eukaryota; Metazoa; Arthropoda; Insecta; Diptera; Muscidae. The record is from RefSeq and is a predicted model, not a curated record. The transcript is spliced from 2 exons.